This is a long non-coding RNA of Cynara cardunculus var. scolymus (artichoke), 390 nucleotides long. RefSeq lists it as uncharacterized. The record is from RefSeq and is a predicted model, not a curated record. The transcript is spliced from 3 exons. Lineage: Eukaryota; Viridiplantae; Streptophyta; Magnoliopsida; Asterales; Asteraceae.
CUUCACCAACCAUCGGUUACGAUCCCUGUGGAAUUUGAUUGAAGAUCUGGUGUAGUUAUCAAAGCCAAGAAAGGUUCAAUAGAUGUCUCUCAGUGUUUAAACUGUGAUAGAUGAUUGUGGAGGAUUCUAAUUAACAAUGAAUUAUGGACUGUAUACACAACCAUCUAUAUUGUGCAUGUCUGGAUAUGGUUUCAUCCAAAGCUGCUGGAGAGCUUCGAUACCCAUCUUACCCAAAGAAAAACGAAGGAUGGAAAUUUCCAUGAAUUGGAGCCUUCAAGUGUUGUAACCACCUUUUUGAUCAUAUUCGUUGGAUUAAUCUAUCCAAAGGUUGAAAUUUGUUUUAAGGUUUUCCACAGUUUUUUUUGUGGUUUCAUUUGAACCUCCCUGUAU